RNAcentral lists this ribosomal RNA (253 nucleotides) under uncultured bacterium. RNAcentral describes it as "partial 16S ribosomal RNA". It matches the Rfam family "Bacterial small subunit ribosomal RNA", at positions 524 to 776 of the family's 1533-position model. The record is from RNAcentral.
UACGAAGGGGGCGAGCGUUGUUCGGAAUCACUGGGCGUAAAGGGCGCGUAGGCGGCCCUCCUUGUCGCGUGUGAAAGCCCCGGGCUCAACCUGGGAACGGCGCGCGAGACGGGGGGGCUGGAGUUCGGGAGAGGAGCGUGGAAUUCCCAGUGUAGAGGUGAAAUUCGUAGAUAUCCGGAGGAACACCAGUGGCGAAGGCGACUUUCUGGCCUGUUCUUGACGCUGAGGCGCGAAAGCUAGGGGAGCAAACGGG